RNAcentral lists this unclassified non-coding RNA (271 nucleotides) under uncultured fungus. Its description in RNAcentral is "partial contains 5.8S ribosomal RNA, internal transcribed spacer 2, and large subunit ribosomal RNA". The record is from RNAcentral. Lineage: Eukaryota; Fungi.
AAGGAUCAUUAUUGAAUAAACUUGGUUGGGUUGAUGCUGGCCUCUCGGGGCAUGUGCACGCCUACCGCCAUUUUUACCACCUGUGCACCUUUUGUAGACCUGGAUAUCUCUCGAGGAAACUCGGUUUGAGGACUGCUGUGCGUAAGCCAGCUUUCCUUGCAUUUCCGGUCUAUGUUUUCAUAUACCCCAUUAGAAUGUUAUAGAAUGUCAUUAAUGGGCUUCAUUGCCUUUAAAAUUAAUACAACUUUCAACAACGGAUCUCUUGGCUCUC